UACGUAGGGUGCGAGCGUUGUCCGGAAUUAUUGGGCGUAAAGGGCUCGUAGGCGGUUUGUUGCGUCGGCUGUGAAAUCCCGAGGCUCAACCUCGGGUCUGCAGUCGAUACGAGCAAACUAGAGUGUUGCAGGGGAGACUGGAAUUCCUGGUGUAGCGGUGAAAUGCGCAGAUAUCAGGAGGAAUACCGGUGGCGAAGGCGGCAUCCUGGACCGAGAUUGACGCUGAACGGCGAAAGCUAGGGGAGCAAAUGGG
Molecule: ribosomal RNA, 253 nt
Filed under: uncultured bacterium
Lineage: Bacteria
Description: partial 16S ribosomal RNA
Rfam family: Bacterial small subunit ribosomal RNA
Source: RNAcentral